Saimiri boliviensis boliviensis (Bolivian squirrel monkey) is the source of this 1546-nucleotide non-coding RNA. The record is from RefSeq and is a predicted model, not a curated record. Lineage: Eukaryota; Metazoa; Chordata; Mammalia; Primates; Cebidae.
AUGGAAAAGGAAAAGACUCAUAUCAACAUUGUUGUCAUUGGACACAUGUUGUGCAUUUUAGAUGCACAUUUUAGAUAGAUUUGGGCAAGUCUACCACCACUGGCCAUCUAAUCUACAAAUGCAGUGGCAUUGACAAAAGAACCAUUGAAAAAUUUGAGAAGGAGACUGCUUAGAUGGGAAAGGGCUCCUUCAAGUAUGCCUGGGUCUUGGAUAAACUGAAAGCCAAGCAUGAACAUGUUAUCAACAUUGAUAUCUCCUUGUGGAAAUUCGAGACCAGCAAGUACUACAUGACUAUCACUGAUGCCUCAGGACACAGAGACUUCAUCAAAAACAUGUUUACAAGGACAUCUCAGGCUGACUGUGCUGUCCUGAUUGUUGCUGCUGGUGUUGGUGAAUUUGAAGCUAGUAUCUCCAAGAAUGGGCAGACCCGAGAGCAUGCCCUUCUGGCUUAGAGACUGGGUAUGAAACAGCUAAUUGUUGGUGUUAACAAAAUGGAUUCCACUGAGCUACCCUACAGCCGGAAGAGAUAUGAGGAAAUCAUUAAGGAAGUCAGGACUUACGUUAAGAAAAUUGGCUACAACCCUCCCAGAGUAGCAUUUGUGUGAAUUUCUGGUUGGAAUAGUGACAACAUGCCAGAGCCAAGUGCUAACAUGCCUUGGUUCAAGGGUUGGAAAGUCACCCGUAAGGAUAGCAAUGCUAGUGGAACUACUCUGCUUGAGGCUCUGGAUUUCAACCUACCACCAACUUGUCCAACUGACAAGCCCUUGUGCCUGCCUCUCCAGGAUGUCUAUAAAAUUGGUGGUAUUGGUACUGUUCCUGGUGGCCAAGCAAAUACUGGUGUUCUCAAACCUGGUAUGGUGGUUACCUUUGCUCCAGUCAAUGUUACAACUGAAGUGAAAUCUGUUUAAAUGCACCAUGAAGCUUUGAAUGAAGCUCUUCCUGGGGACAAUGUGGGCUUCAAUAUCAAGAAUGUGUCUGUCAAGGAUGUUCGCCAUGGCAACGUUGCUGGUAACAGCAAGAACAACCUGCCAAUAGAAGCAGCUGGCUUCAUUGUUUAGGUGAUUAUCUGAACCAUCCAGGCCAAAUCAGUGCUGGCUAUGCCACUGUACUGGAUUGCCACACGGCUCACAUUGCAUACAAGUUUGUUGAGCUGAAGGAAAAGACUGAUUGCUGUUCUGGUAAAAAGCUGGAAGAUGGUCAAACUUCUUGAAGUCUGGUGAUGCUGCCAUCAUUGAUAUGGUUCCUGGCAAGCCCAUGUGUGUUGAGAGCUUCUCAGACUAUCCAGCUCUGGGUCACUUUGCCAUUCGUGAUAUGAGAGAGACAGUUGCAGUGGGUGUCAUUAAAGCAGUGGACAAGAAGGCUGCUGGAGCUGGCAAGGACACCAAGUCUGCCCAGAAAGCUCAGAAGGCUAAAUGAAUAUUAUCCCUAAUACCUGCCACCUCAGUCUUAAUCAGUGGUAGAAGAACAGUCUCAGAACUGUUUGUUUCAAUUGGCCAUUUAAGUUUAGUAAUAAAAGACUGGUUAAUGAUAACAAUGCAUUGUAAAA